Long non-coding RNA from Stomoxys calcitrans (stable fly), 672 nucleotides. RefSeq lists it as uncharacterized. The record is from RefSeq and is a predicted model, not a curated record. The transcript is spliced from 5 exons. Lineage: Eukaryota; Metazoa; Arthropoda; Insecta; Diptera; Muscidae.
AGAUCCUGUGAAGUCAUGGACCUAUAACUCUAAGAUUUUCUUCAACUUCACUUUGCAUCAUGUAGAGGAAAAGGGUGGGGGACCACCACCAACACCACCACCACUCAUCGAAUGGCAGAGCACUCUGACAGACCGCAGUGCCUAUGAAAAUGGAAGGUGUUAAUUUGUGUCAUCUUUCCUUUCCCCAAUCUAUCCAAUUGGACAUAAAGCAAGGUGUUUGUCCUAAAUACAUAUUUUUGAAAGGAGCUCCACAUAACCCAAGAAUACAUGAGUGCAAGUAUGCUGGCUCUAUCAAUCCCUUUGCUAUUGUAAAUGAUUCUUCAAUAUAAAAGCAAUAGAUCGACUCCAUACUUCCAUACUAUAACAAAGAAGCAAUAUUGUGAGAACUGUCUUGCUCGGAGCCAUUCAUCAAGAGAUUGCACUUCAAAGGUCAACUGUAAGAAUUAUGGCGAACAUCAUCAUGCACUACUGCAUCAUUCACUUCACCCUUCAUUAAGCAUCUCAUCACUCAACUCAAAGAGGCCCAAAAAAUUAUAGAAGCAACUCACCACACACUGUCCACCAAUAAUCAACUCACCGAGAAUUAACAAACAACCAGCCACAACAACAGUUAAUGAUAUAAUAUAAUAUUGCAAUAUAAGAUCUUUAAUAAACCUUAUUUUUGAAUACAAA